Non-coding RNA from Danio aesculapii, 701 nucleotides. NCBI's taxonomy places the organism in Eukaryota, Metazoa, Chordata, Actinopteri, Cypriniformes, Danionidae. The record is from the annotation of a RefSeq genome assembly.
AUGCUGAUUCACAGUCAGACUGAUAUUGAGCUUCAGUUUGAGGGGCAGGACACACAUUCAAAACCUCCGGCUCACACUGAGCACAGAUCAUUUGUAUCACUGUGGUACACUUUCGGCAGCGGCACCAAACUGGAUGUUGGCACCGUCUCUCCUCCUCAAGUGAGCGUCCUGACGCCCUCCAGUGCAGAGAUCUCCUCCAAGCGGACGGCUACACUGCUGUGUGUGGCCAACAAGGGCUUCCCGUCAGACUGGAGGCUGGUCUGGAAGGUGUCUGGCGGCAGCAGCAGCAGCGGGGGUCAGGAGAGCAGAAGUGCUGGGCUCCUGGAGAAGGACGGUCUGUACAGCUGGAGCAGCAGCCUGACUCUCACUGAGCAGCAGUGGAUGGAGAGCAACUCAGUGAGCUGUGAGGCCACACGGAGCGGCCAGCCUGCGCACACUGCAGAAUACAUUGUGAUGAGACAGCAGUGUUCAGAGUAGAUCUGCAGCACACACACCACAUCUGUGUGUCUAUCUGUGUGUGUGUGUGUGUGUGUGUGUGUGUGCGCUUUACUCACAUUCACUGCACUUCAGCACACACACACUGGCUGUCUUUCAGUCUCUCUGUGUGCUCUGCUCUGCUUUCUGUCUUUCACAGCAGACUAAAUGUGUGUGUUUUACUGACAUUGAUUCAUUAAUAAAGCACAACUGUAAGUUGAAGUGUG